This 5601-nucleotide long non-coding RNA is filed under the name Octopus vulgaris (common octopus). The record is from RNAcentral. Lineage: Eukaryota; Metazoa; Mollusca; Cephalopoda; Octopoda; Octopodidae.
UUCGCUAGGAUUACCGACAAAGUCGUCCUCGGUGGAAACUGAACACAAAACUUGAAACUAAAUAAUGCUUUUCUUGCCCCUUAAAAUUCGGGGGAAAAGAACUCAUUUUUACGUGAGAUAAAGAAGUGUUUGAAUCGCGAGUUACUUCCCGCAAAAUUUCUUUUCAUUCAUUCCUUGCUAUUGUUUGAAGCACUUUUUUAUAUAUGUAUAUAUAUAAUGGAUCACAUCUACGUAACAGUGGAUAUUUAGCGGAGAUUUAAUUAAAUGGACAUUAUUCUAAUCAACCACGUAAAGAAAUAGCUAUAUUCCCUGCUAUUGUUCAAUCCACAUCUAUAUUUAUUGAGUCAUAUCUGCUUCACAACGGAUAUUUAGCGGAGUUCUAAUUAAAAGUACAUGAUCGCUAAUUAACUGCGAAAAGAAAGUCGUGACAACAUUCAUUAUUACAUUGAUGUGAAAAUAUAAAUCAACGUCUACUGUAAAAUUUAGUUCUUAUGAAGCUGUCAGUGUCUGGAUUGUCUUAAGAUCUGAUUAUAUGAACAUAUUGUGCACUGUCUUCCCCCUUAUUGGGGCUUGAUUAAUAAGUAAGUAUUGUUAUAAUAUACAUCUACAUUGUAAGAGUCGUCUUACGAAUAUCUCUUAAUGUUGGAGUGAACAGUGUGAUCGUUGUCUAAGAUAUAGAAAAACACCUAGGUCUCAUAAAACUGGUACACGUACACAAAACGAACAAACCGUUUCAGUCUCUGAGACCAAAACAAUAAUUUAUAUUUCUUUACUACCCACAACGGGCUAAACAUAGAGGGGACAAACAAGGACAGACAAAGGGAUUAAGUCGAUUACAUGGGCCCCAGUGCGCAACUGGUACUUAAUUUAUCGACCCCGAAAGGAUGAAAGGCAAAGUCGACCUCGGCGGAAUUUGAACUCGGAACGUAACGACAGACGAAAUACUGCUACGAAUUUCGCCCGGCGUGCUAACGUUUUUACCAGCCCGCCGCGAAAACAAUAAUAUAAGUUCCAUAUAAGGUAGUAAGCUGGCAGAAUCGUUAGCACGCUGGGCAAAAUGCUGUGCGGUAUUUCGUCCGCCGCUACGUUCUGAGUUCAAAUUCCGCCGAGGUCGACUUUGCCUUUCAUCCUUUCGGGGUCGAUAAAUUAAGUACCCCGUCUGUCUGUCCUUGUUUGUCCCCUCUGUGUUUAGCCCCUUGUGGGUAGUAAAGAAAUAAGUAUUUCGUUUGCCGUUACGUUCUCAGUUCAAAUUCCACCGAGGUCGACUUUGCCUUUCAUCUUUUCGGGGUCGAUAAAAUAAGGGCAUCCAUCCUCAAUUUUUUUUUUUUUUCGAAAUUUCAAGUUUCAUUUUAUCAGUAUGUAUAUGUAUGAGUCCGCCAAGUUUGUUUUUUUAUGUUAAAUUCCCAUAUAAUCGUAACCUACACACUCUGGGAGGUAUUUAUAGAAAAUUUGGCAUUCCUUCGAUAUAACUCGACAAAAUCAAAACAUUCCCCUUCGGGUAUUUCCGUGGGUUGUGGAGUAUAGAUAUAACGAAAUUAUGCCAGCAAUGUCUCAUCUUAAACUUGAAGAAAAAAACCUUGCAUAUUUGUUCUUACCUGUAUGAAAAAUCCGCAAAUUUCCUAGCAGAAAACAGAAUCGAACUGUCAUUUGCAUCCACGGAAAUACCCGAAGUGAAAUGUUUUGAUUUUGUCGAAUCAUAUCGAAAGAAUGCCAUAAUUUUCGUUAGAAAAUACUUAUUUUACUAAAAGUUAUAAUGAAACGAAGCCGUGUGAAUUUUCCGAGACUCUUCUCCCUACCCUCGCAAUUUUUUUUUUUUUUUUUCACAACAAAUAAUCUGAAUCUGCAACAUCUGAAAUGUAUUUUUUUCUCUUAUUCUAUCGGUUCUCUUUUGCCGAACCGCUAAGUUACAGGGACGUAAACACACCAGCAUUGGUUGUCAAGCGAUGUUGGGGGGACAAACACAGACACACACAUACAUAUAUAUCUAUAUACAUAUAUACGACGGGCUUCUUUCAGUUUCCAUGUACCAAAUCCACUCACAAGGCUUUGGUCAGCCCGAGGCUAAAGUAGAAGACACUUGCCCAAAGUGCCACGCAGUGGGACUGAACCCGGAACCAUGUGGUUGGUAAACAAGCUACUUACCACACAGCCACUCCUACGUGACUAGAAAAUCUCAUCAAAACAUACUCAUUUUUCUGGAAGUUAUGAAGAAACAAAGUCAGGUGGGGGCCAUAUGUGGAGGUAUUCUAAAAUAAGUACCAGUUGAGCACUAGGUUUGAUGUAAUCGACUUUCCUCCAUCCCAGAAAUUAAUUUCAGCCCUGUGAAUCAGUAAAAUUACUAUUUUUAAUGGCAUAUUAAAGGCACUUUAAUUUCAACAGUAUAUACUCUGGACAAUGAGUUUUUAGCACAUGUAAUACAGGCCCAGGUUUCACAUUGAGAUUUGCUGAAGUAUGGAACAAACUGCCGGCAUCAGUUGUUAGUUGUCGGAGCACUGCAUCCUUCAAAACUUCCAUACUUCCUGAGAUUCACCAACACUACACCUGAUCUUCUCCCCUCCAUACACACGCAAGCAUGUAUCUGACUCAUACACUGUUCACUUCCCAGACAUUUGUACAUUACUGCAUAUGCUUUAUACGCACUUUCCGACAAGUUGUGGUGCACCUGAGCACUGUAUAUAAUACACUCCAUCAGGCAUUUGCCAUAUUCUGAACGCCUUACUUCUCUGGGCAUGGACACAUUGAAACUCCGAUGUCUGGCAGCUAACUUGGCAGACACCCAUAAAAUUAUUAACCAUCUUAAAAACAAUAACUUUGAGCACCUUUUCAAACUCCAUCUGUCUAACACUCAUGGACAUAUUUACAAAGUCAGAAAACAGCACAGCUCCCAUGACUUUCGGAAACAUUUUUUCAUGCUAAGAGUUGCUGAAGCAUGGAACAAACUGCCGGCAUCAGUUGUUAGUUGUCGGAGCACUGCACCCUUCAAAACUUCCAUGCUUCCUGAGAUUUGCCAACACUACACCUGAUCUUUCUCCCCUCCAUACACACGCAAGCAUGUAUCUGACUCAUACACUGUUCGUUUUCCAGACAUUUGUACAUUACUGCAUAUGCUUUAUAUGCACUUUAGACAAGUCGUGGUGCACCUGAGCACUGUAUACAAUAAUUUCAUUAUUAUUAUUAUUAUUAUUAUUAUAUACACACACACACACAUAUAUCUGCAUUCAUAUAUGCUUUAUACACACUUUUGACAAGUUGUGGUGCACCUGAGCAAUGUAUACAAUAAUUUCUCUAUUAUUAUUAUUUAAAAACUUCACCUGUUUAACACCUGUGGAUAUGUUUACAAAGUCAGAAAACAGCACAGCUCCCAUGACUUUCGGAAACAUCUUUUCACACUGAGAGUUGCUGAAGCAUGGAACAAACUGCCAGCAUCAGUUGUUAGUUGUCGGAGCACUGCAUCCUUCAAAACUUCCAUGCUUUCAGAGAUUCGCCAACACUACACCUGAUCUUUCUCCCCUCCAUACACACAAGCAAGCAUGUAUCUGACUCAUACACGUUUUGCUUUCCAGACAUUUGUACAUUACUAUAUAUGCUUUAUACGCAUUUUCUGACAAGUUGUGGUGCACCUGAGCACUGAAUACAAUUAUUUCAUUAUUAUUAUCAUAUAGAACCCGAGGUGGGCUUUCUUUCUUUUUCAAACAAAAGCUUUUUGUAUGUCAUUAAAUAUUGUGGUUAAAUUAUCAAACGAGUACUUAUACAUAGAAAGAACAUGCUUACAACCCGAUUAUCAAAUCUUCAUUUGACAUAAGUGACACCUGUGAUUUGUUAAACCAAUUUAAUUAUGUUUUGUAUUAUAUUUCAUAAACAAUUAAACACCAUACUCUAAAACUUUUGUAGAUCUUUGGGAACUCCACACAAAUAGCUUAAAUACUUUAUAAACCAAUUAGUGACUCCUGAUUACAAAAACUAAUUUAACUGGUUUAUCUACCAUUUUAUAGUUACAUAUAGCGGCCUCUACCUGGGAUGUAGCCAGUCCACUUAUGCAUACCUUCCUUCUUGGGACACAUAACUCUACUUGUGAAGACCUGUUGAGGCAAGUGAAAAUCAAAAUCGAAAUUGAUCAACAUCAAUGGAAUUUGUAGUUGUGAUACCAGUGCCGGUGGCACGUAAGAGAACCAUCUGAAUGUGGCCAUAGCCAGCGCCGCAUCGCCUGGCCUCCGUGCCAGUGGCACGUAACAAACACCAUCCGAUUCGUGGCCGUUGCUAGCCUCACCUGGCCUCCGUGCCAGUAGCACGUAAAAUGCACCAUCUGAGCGUGGCCAUUAGCCAGCCUCAUCUGGCACCUGUGUCGGUGGCACGUAAAAAGCACCAUCCGUUCGUGGCCAUUAGCCAGCCUCAUCUGGCACCUGUGUCGGUGGCACGUAAAAAGCACCCACUGCACUCACGGAGUGGUUGGCGUUAGGAAGGGCAUCAGGCUGUAGAAACACUGCCAGAUCAGACUGGGCCUGGUGCAGCCUACUGGCCUCCCACACCCCAGUUGAACCGUCCAACCCAUGCUAGCAUGGAAAGCAGACGUUAAACAAUGAUGAUGAUGAUGGUGAUAUAUAUAAACAACUGGCUGACGUACCUGGUAAUUCCUGGGAAAGCAGGGCUUAUCCCUUGGUUCUGUCCUCAUAAUUGUUUCACUAACCUAAUAACAACAAUAGUGGAGGCACAUGGCUUAGUUGUUAGAGCAGUGGACUUGCGGUCGAGGGAUCACGGGUUCGAAUCUCAGACCAGGCGAUGUUUGUGUUUUUAUAUAUAUAUAUAUAUAAUAAUAAUAAUAAUAAUAUUAGGGAGUAAAUCCAAACUUAGAAGGAAAAAUUAGAUUUAGGAUUAAAUCUAAUUUUACAGUAUAAAUAUAAAUUAAAUUAGAGAUAAAACCACUAUUAGGCAAAUCAAUUAUAUUAAUUAAUUUUAUUUCUAUGUUUUGGUUUAUGUUUUUUCACUGUUUGAUUUGCCUAAUAGUGGUUUUAUCUCUAAUUUAAUUUAUAUAUAUAUAUAUAUAUAUAUAUAUAUAUAUAUAUAUAUAUAAAUGAGACCGCGUGUGUACCGUUUGCGAUUUUUUUCCUCUGUCUUCCCUUCUCUGGAUCUUUCCUUCUUCUAUGUUUCCGACGAAGAGCUCCGCUUGAAACGUUAAACCCUCCUUCUUUCCUUCUUUCCUGAGCCUCCAAUAAUACUAUGUGUGUGUGUGUGUGUGUGUGUACAUACACACAGACACACGUAUGCACGUGCACACAUCUUGGAAAGGAAUGGAUGUAGUCAGGGAAUUCAAUUGUUUGGUAUGUAUCUUUAGCAAAGUAACCAUUUUAGAAGAAAUAUAAUUAAAUGUCCCCUAUUGAAUCUUUUAUUAUUUAGUAUCUUCCAUAUCUUACAUUCUUCUUUCUCUUUUAUUUCAGAAUAUCAGAUGAGAUUGGCAUUAAAGAAUUUCUGUUACAUCAAAUAACAUGAUUAAUAUUGAGCACCUAUUAAAGACCAAAAGAAGUUCUACUGAACAGGUGUAAACCUAUUUAUAUAAAUCUAUGUUAUGCAUUACUGUAGACUACUUGCCCAGGACUGAAAUUAAUC